UACGGAGGGGGCUAGCGUUGUUCGGAAUUACUGGGCGUAAAGCGCACGUAGGCGGAUCUUUAAGUCAGGGGUGAAAUCCUGGAGCUCAACUCCAGAACUGCCUUUGAUACUGAGGACCUUGAGUUCGGGAGAGGUGAGUGGAAUUCCCAGUGUAGCGGUGAAAUGCGUAGAUAUUGGGAGGAACACCAGUGGCGAAGGCGGCUCACUGGACCGGUACUGACGCUGAGGCGCGAAAGCGUGGGGAGCAAACGGG
Molecule: ribosomal RNA, 253 nt
Filed under: uncultured bacterium
Lineage: Bacteria
Description: partial 16S ribosomal RNA
Rfam family: Bacterial small subunit ribosomal RNA
Source: RNAcentral